UUUCCGACGACAAUCGUGCGCGUUCGCUCGCUCAACUAAUAGAAACUCGACAACAUUGAACUAUAUCGAGAAUUAUCGCCUAGACUACAAAAUUCCAACAACUAAUUGGGCGCCUCCUAUCGAAGAAACUAAUGUGUACUAAUACCAGGCGCCCUCCCCUUGACCUCACCGACGCCAUCCUGGAUCUUCUCCCUUUGAUCGUUUUUUUUUUUUUUUUUUAAUAAAGAGAUCUGCCACGAAACUGCCCCCUCUCGAUCGGGUUAAUUGUCUAUUUAUUCCUGGGCAGAGUACCAAUUGUUUCUGUCGUCCAUUCCAAUCGAUAAUUAAAAUAUUGCCGACUGAACCUCUUUCUAUUAAACUUUAUAGAACAGUAACAAACUUUAACUUAAUAAUAUUUUAAUAUUCUAUCGGAGUCAAUAACUGAAACGUCCUCGAGCGAAUAUUCUUGCAUUGAAUAUCGUAAAAUAGUGGAAUAUAGAAUAUUAUGAAAUCUUAUUGAAAAUCUAAAAUAAAUUUCAGCAACGUGUAUCUAUGGAUCUAAUAUCAAAUUUACAAGUUUCUGCACGAAGUUCACUCUUCCUAAAAUUCUCAUCAAAAUCUGUAGUUCAGCAAUGGUUUUUUAUAACGGAACAAUAUCCAGCGAUUCUAAAGGUUCAGAGAUAUUUUAUUUUAUUCCAAAACUAAGGUUCACCAGAGGAUUGGACUCUGCCCAAAAUUGGCGAGAGAGAGAGAGAGAGAGAGAGAGAGAGAGAGAGAGAGAGAGAGAGAGA
Molecule: long non-coding RNA, 770 nt
Organism: Bombus impatiens (common eastern bumble bee)
Lineage: Eukaryota; Metazoa; Arthropoda; Insecta; Hymenoptera; Apidae
Exons: 2
Source: RefSeq, a predicted model, not a curated record